Molecule: non-coding RNA, 46 nt
Filed under: Schistosoma mattheei
Lineage: Eukaryota; Metazoa; Platyhelminthes; Trematoda; Strigeidida; Schistosomatidae
Source: RNAcentral
GCACUGCUGAGGAGUCCCAUAAUAGGAUGGAACGAUUGUCCAGUGU